AUUGAACGCUGGCGGCAUGCCUUACACAUGCAAGUCGAACGGUAACAGGUCUUCGGAUGCUGACGAGUGGCGAACGGUUGAGUAAUACAUCGGAACGUGCCCGAUCGUGGGGGAUAACGGAGCGAAAGCUUUGCUAAUACCGCAUACGAUCUACGGAUGAAAGCAGGGGACCGCAAGGCCUUGCGCGGACGGAGCGGCCGAUGGCAGAUUAGGUAGUUGGUGGGAUAAAAGCUUACCAAGCCGACGAUCUGUAGCUGGUCUGAGAGGACGACCAGCCACACUGGGACUGAGACACGGCCCAGACUCCUACGGGAGGCAGCAGUGGGGAAUUUUGGACAAUGGGCGAAAGCCUGAUCCAGCCAUGCCGCGUGCAGGAUGAAGGCCUUCGGGUUGUAAACUGCUUUUGUACGGAACGAAAAGGCUCUUUCUAAUAAAGAGGGUCCAUGACGGUACCGUAAGAAUAAGCACCGGCUAACUACGUG
Molecule: ribosomal RNA, 482 nt
Filed under: uncultured bacterium
Lineage: Bacteria
Description: partial 16S ribosomal RNA
Rfam family: Bacterial small subunit ribosomal RNA
Source: RNAcentral